This is a long non-coding RNA of Suricata suricatta (meerkat), 507 nucleotides long. RefSeq lists it as uncharacterized. The record is from RefSeq and is a predicted model, not a curated record. The transcript has 3 exons. NCBI's taxonomy places the organism in Eukaryota, Metazoa, Chordata, Mammalia, Carnivora, Herpestidae.
CAAGAAGAAGAGGAGGAGGAGGAGGAGGGGGAGGAGGAGGAGGAGGAGGAAGAAGGAGGAGGAGAAGAAAAACAUUGCAAGGGUGCAUGUGGAAUAACAGAAUAUUUGCCAAGAGUUGGCCAGACACGAUAGUGGACGGAAUCAAGCACGUCUUCCAUCUGCUGCCUGCAUUUGCUGUCUGUAUUUACCCUGCAUAUUACCUGAGCAGAAAAGAGAGACUUGCUUCCACAGACAUCAGCUCUACCAGACCCUGAAUGUUCAGCCACAUGUGGAGCAGUUCCCUCUGAAAGAAAUUCAGAAACUCGCCUAGUGAGUCCUACACACUGGGAAAAAGAAAAUACAUAUUGAAACAGGUAGGAAAGGCUGAGACACACUCUUGGCAUACACCCCAUCCCUGACACAGUGACAUAUGGUUGGGAGGGAACCCCCAUUUCCUAGCUUCUUACUGAGGAGCAAAAAGUUUGGGCUUACUUCUAGUGCCUCACUUUUAAGCUCCCAUUGUAAGGA